This 340-nucleotide ribosomal RNA is filed under the name Eluma purpurascens. Its description in RNAcentral is "16S ribosomal RNA". The record is from RNAcentral. Lineage: Eukaryota; Metazoa; Arthropoda; Malacostraca; Isopoda; Armadillidiidae.
UGUGCUAAGGUAGCAUAAUAAUUAGCUACCUAAUUAGUAGCUAGAAUGAACGGUCGGACAAAAAACUUACUUUAUUUUUUCACCAUUAAAUUUAUUUAAAAAUAAAAAAGUUUUUAUAAACUAAAAAGACGAUAAGACCCUAAAACCUUUAGUAAAUAUUUUACUGGGGCGGUUAAUUUACUACUAGCAUAAAUUAACAAAACAUAAUGAAUGUAAUUCCCUAACUAUUAUUAAACACAAGAAGGUACUUUAGGGAUAACAGCAUAAUUUCUAUAUAGAGUCCUUAUCGACAUAGAAGAUUAUGACCUCGAUGUUGAAUUGAUAUAAUUUUAAUAAGCAG